AUUGAACGCUGGCGGCAUGCCUUACACAUGCAAGUCGAACGGCAGCACGGGUGCUUGCACCUGGUGGCGAGUGGCGAACGGGUGAGUAAUACAUCGGGACAUGUUCUGUAUUGGGGGAUAGCCCGGCGAAAGCCGGAUUACUACCGCAUACGAUCUACGGAUGCAAGCGGGGGACCUUCUGGCCUCGGGCUUUACGGUUGCCCGAUGAUUGAUUAGCUAGUUGGUGGGGUAAAGGCCUACCAAGGCGACGAUCAGCAGCUGGUCUGAGAGGACGACCAGCCACACUGGGACUGAGACACGGCCCAGACUCCUACGGGAGGCAGCAGUGGGGAAUUUUGGACAAUGGGCGAAAGCCUGAUCCAGCAAUGCCGCGUGUGUGAAGAAGGCCUUCGGGUUGUAAAGCACUUUUGUCCGGAAAGAAAUCCUUGGCCCUAAUACGGUCGGGGGAUGACGGUACCGGAAGAGUAAGCCCCGGCUAACUACGUG
This 486-nucleotide ribosomal RNA is filed under the name uncultured bacterium. RNAcentral describes it as "partial 16S ribosomal RNA". It matches the Rfam family "Bacterial small subunit ribosomal RNA", at positions 30 to 507 of the family's 1533-position model. The record is from RNAcentral.